This 253-nucleotide ribosomal RNA is filed under the name uncultured bacterium. Its description in RNAcentral is "partial 16S ribosomal RNA". It matches the Rfam family "Bacterial small subunit ribosomal RNA", at positions 524 to 776 of the family's 1533-position model. The record is from RNAcentral.
UACGGAGGGGGCUAGCGUUGUUCGGAAUUACUGGGCGUAAAGCGCACGUAGGCGGCUUUGUAAGUUAGAGGUGAAAGCCCAGGGCUUAACCCUGGAAUUGCCUUUAAGACUGCAUCGCUAGAAUCGUGGAGAGGUAAGUGGAAUUCCGAGUGUAGAGGUGAAAUUCGUAGAUAUUCGGAAGAACACCAGUGGCGAAGGCGACUUACUGGACACGUAUUGACGCUGAGGCGCGAAAGCGUGGGGAGCAAACAGG